GUUGGAGCAGGCUGGCAAGGUGCCGGCGGUCGUUGGAAACGGCUGCAAAUCCGAGCGUCGCAUUGCCGAUGAGGUUCAAGUCCUCGACCUCAGCG
This 95-nucleotide transfer RNA is filed under the name Armatimonadetes bacterium OLB18. RNAcentral describes it as "tRNA-Ser". Lineage: Bacteria; Bacillati; Armatimonadota. The record is from RNAcentral.